Long non-coding RNA from Pecten maximus, 905 nucleotides. RefSeq lists it as uncharacterized. The transcript is spliced from 3 exons. The record is from RefSeq and is a predicted model, not a curated record. NCBI's taxonomy places the organism in Eukaryota, Metazoa, Mollusca, Bivalvia, Pectinida, Pectinidae.
GGAGAAAGGUAUAUUUAUUUUCCUUCUGAGCUUAUUAGAACUAAAUCUACACCAGUUUUCUAGAUUGUUUUUACACAAAAGAAAAGAAUAAUAACCUUACUUAAUAUUUUAUAUUACUUAAAUUAUCAUAAAUGGUAGUCUGGUAUGUGCGGUAUCGUUUAACGCUUGCAUAACACAGCUUUUGAAGUGACCUUGAGAGAGCUCUGUAAAUCUUAAACAAACCGAUAACUGGUUGAAGAUCUUGUGCAAGUUUUCGACAAUCACAUCAAUGGCCCAAGCUAUUCUGAAGACAGUCCGACCAUAUUUUGCUACAAUUCUGUACCCAACUGUUGUCCUAGCCUUUAUCACGUGGGAUCUGAAUCGCACAAGGAUUUUUAAAGCCAAGAAGUUAGCUGCAGCCAAAACAAAGUAGCUCGAGAAAUUAGUGUGAUUAACAUCUUAUCACUUCAACAAGAUGACUGCUGGGGCUGUUACGAAAACUCGCAGCGUGAUGCUGAACCCACGCUUCUUCAAGUACUACGUACACCUUGGAAGCAUAACAACCCUGUUCUUUAUCGGAUGUCAGCUGGACAAUUGGUUGAUUAAUAAGGAAAUGUCAAUGUUCAGGAACAAAUCUGGAUGUUUCCCAGCACGAGAUCUUGGUCCUGGUAACAAAAGAUGGUGAUUGAGAGAAUGGCAAACCUUGCUGUAUGUGUGUGUACAUUUUCAAUUUUCUUGUGAUGUACAGAAAUUAGAUUUGAUAAGUUAGACAUGAAUAUACUAUUCACAUGGCCCCAGUGACUAACAGUUAAUGUUGAAGUUCCAGCAAAGUUAGCAGUACACAAUCUACUGGUAAAGUCAAUUGUAAAUCUGAUAAUGGUGGCAGUGUUUCUUUUUGGAAAAAUAAAGAAUUCUUGAAAAAAACU